Long non-coding RNA from Gopherus flavomarginatus (Mexican gopher tortoise), 380 nucleotides. RefSeq lists it as uncharacterized. Lineage: Eukaryota; Metazoa; Chordata; Testudines; Testudinidae. The record is from RefSeq and is a predicted model, not a curated record. The transcript has 3 exons.
GAGCAGGCAGUAUAGCUAUAGGUCUCCAUAGGCAGGGGAGCAGGCAGCACACGGGGGCUAUAGGGGAGCAGGCGCUAUAGCUAUAGGUCUCCACAGGCAGGGGAGCAGGCAGCACACGGGGGCUAUAGGGGAACAGGCAGUAUAGCUAUAGGUCUCCACAGGCAGGGGAGCAGGCAGCACACGGGGGCUAUAGGGGAGCAGGCGGUAUAGCUAUAGAUCUCCACAGGCAGGGGAGCAGGCAGCACACGGGGGCUAUAGGGGAGCAGGCAGUAUAGCUAUAGGUCUCCACAGGCAGGGGAGCAGGCAGCACACGGGGGCUAUAGGGGAGCAGGCGGUAUAGCUAUAGGUCUCCACAGGCAGGGGAGCAGGCAGCACACGGG